Molecule: ribosomal RNA, 267 nt
Filed under: uncultured soil bacterium
Lineage: Bacteria
Description: partial 16S ribosomal RNA
Rfam family: Bacterial small subunit ribosomal RNA
Source: RNAcentral
AGAAUCAACGCUGGCGGCGUGCCUAACACAUGCAAGUCGAACGCGAAAGUCCCGCAAGGGAUGAGUAGAGUGGCAAACGGGUGAGUAACACGUGGGUGACCUGCCUUCGAGCGGGGGAUAACGUCCCGAAAGGGACGCUAAUACCGCAUGACAUCCUGCCUUUGAAGAGGUGGAGAUCAAAGUUGGGGAUCGCAAGACCUAGCACUCGAAGAGGGGCCCGCGCCUGAUUAGCUAGUUGGUGGGGUAACGGCUCACCAGGGCGACGAU